CCAGACUCCUACGGGAGGCAGCAGUGGGGAAUAUUGCACAAUGGGGGAAACCCUGAUGCAGCGACGCCGCGUGGGUGAAGAAGCGCCUCGGCGCGUAAAGCCCUGUCAGCAGGGAAGAAAAUGACAGUACCUGACUAAGAAGCCCCGGCUGACUACGUGCCAGCAGCCGCGGUAAUACGUAGGGGGCAAGCGUUAUCCGGAUUUACUGGGUGUAAAGGGAGCGUAGACGGCUGCGCAAGUCAGAAGUGAAAGCCCGGGGCCCAACCCCGGGACUGCUCUGGAAACUGCGGCGCUGGAGUACGGGAGGGGCAGGCGGAAUUCCUAGUGUAGCGGUGAAAUGCGUAGAUAUUAGGAGGAACACCAGUGGCGAAGGCGGCCUGCUGGACGAUGACUGACGUUGAGGCUCGAAAGCGUGGGGAGCAAACAGGAUUAGAUACCCUUGUAC
RNAcentral lists this ribosomal RNA (445 nucleotides) under uncultured bacterium. RNAcentral describes it as "partial 16S ribosomal RNA". It matches the Rfam family "Bacterial small subunit ribosomal RNA", at positions 331 to 793 of the family's 1533-position model. The record is from RNAcentral.